AUACAAUAUUAACAACGGUUUAUGUCUGGAUUCUGCCAACUCCUUACAAAAUAUACAAGAGGUUGUUAAUUUAAAGCUUUGCCAUUUUCAUGGCGGAAACCAAUACUGGGUAUACACGAAAGAUGGCGAGAUACGACGAGAUGACAUGUGUUUAGAUUACUUUCUCAACUCGAUUACUUUAUUUAUAUGCCGUGGCGGGUCUUCGUCGCAGAUAUGGAUUUACGACGAGAAGACGAAAAACAUAAAACACAAAACCACUCAGCUAUGUUUAGGCGCAGCGAAAUUUCAAGUUGGAUACAAAUUGACCCUCGAAAAUUGCUUCAAAUCAAGUCAUCAAAAAUGGAUGAUGGAAAACUACGCCACUGACAAGCAACGUGUUGGUUUGACACCUAUUCCCAUACAGGUGGUGUGAUA
Molecule: long non-coding RNA, 414 nt
Organism: Manduca sexta (tobacco hornworm)
Lineage: Eukaryota; Metazoa; Arthropoda; Insecta; Lepidoptera; Sphingidae
Exons: 3
Source: RefSeq, a predicted model, not a curated record